GAUGAACGCUGACAGAAUGCUUAACACAUGCAAGUCUUUGGCGAAGCUGUGCUUGCACAGCCUAGCCAAGGCGGACGGGUGAGUAACGCGUAAGGAACUUGCCCUGCAGUCAGGGAUAACAGACGGAAACGACUGAUAAGACCUGGUAAAGUCAGGCGGACUCAUGUCCAGCCUGAUGAAAAGUGAUGCUGCAGGAGAGCCUUGCGUCCUAUUAGCUUGUUGGUGGGGUAACGGCCCACCAAGGCGAUGAUAGGUAGCCGGCCUGAGAGGGUGGACGGCCAAAAGGGGAAUGAGAUGCAGCCCUUACUACUACGGGAGGCAGCAGUGGAGAAUAUUGGACAAUGGGGGCAACCCUGAUCCAGCAAUUCUGUGUGCACGAUGAAGGUUUUCGGAUUGUAAAGUGCUUUCAGCAGGGAAGAAAAAAAUGACGGUACCUGCAGAAGAAGCGACGGCUAAAUACGUG
This 463-nucleotide ribosomal RNA is filed under the name uncultured bacterium. Its description in RNAcentral is "partial 16S ribosomal RNA". It matches the Rfam family "Bacterial small subunit ribosomal RNA", at positions 28 to 507 of the family's 1533-position model. The record is from RNAcentral.